This 114-nucleotide non-coding RNA is filed under the name Youngiibacter fragilis 232.1. RNAcentral's name for it is "Clostridium sp. 232.1 FMN riboswitch aptamer (RFN element)". It matches the Rfam family "FMN riboswitch aptamer (RFN element)". From Rfam's summary of the family: The RFN element is a highly conserved domain that is found frequently in the 5'-untranslated regions of prokaryotic mRNAs that encode for flavin mononucleotide (FMN) biosynthesis and transport proteins. The record is from Rfam by way of RNAcentral. RNAcentral also lists the same sequence under 1 other name. Lineage: Bacteria; Bacillati; Bacillota; Clostridia; Eubacteriales; Clostridiaceae.
UAGCGUCUUCAGGGCGGGGUGUGAUUCCCCACCGGCGGUAUAGCCCGCGAGCCGUAAGGCUGAUUCGGUUGAAUUCCGAAGCCGACAGUAUAGUCUGGAUGAAAGAAGAUAGAU